UUGGAGAAAGUAAGAGAAAGCCCGAGGCAGAAUGUCAAGAAGGGACUGAGAGACUGACAGACACAGCCCAGUGAUGAGUCCAGCCAGAUGUCCAGAGUCCCAGCCUGCAACAAGAAAUGGAAAGCUUUGAUGCUUCAGUAAGAGCCUGUUGAGAACUCCUCUAACCAAACAGCCUGCACAUCUAUGAAUUUUCAGCACCACAGGAAACUAAAGCCAGAGGGUGAAGUGAUCAGGCCAAAUGCCCCACAAGUGUGGGAGAAUGGAUCCAGACACACCGCAUGUCUGUAAUCAAGAUCUUCCCCUACUGUGCCCACUCAGCUGUCACAAGAUAACUUAGAGGGCAGCAAGAUCAACUUCCCCACUGUCUGUGGAGAAACAGCUGUGGGAAACAUCUCUAGCUGGGAAUCCCAGGAGAUAAGAAGAUCCAGCCCAGAGAGAAACUCUUAGAAAAAGCAACCUAGAGAAGAUGUGGGACUGAGACCGUCAAGGUCAGGAAGGAUGAUGGCAACACUGACUGACAGGAGUCACUGGAGUAGAAGUUAUUUCAGGAAGGGGCUGGGAAGACAUUCUCACAGAGAGUUGCAAGCAACACGGUGGUGGGGAUCUGGAAGGGCUUGGCAAGGCUGCUGCUGUCAUUUCCGCCCGUGGAAUGUUCCCAGGAAUAACUUUAACAUAUAGGGAACUACAAGUUUACUGUGGAAAAUAACAUCAUAUCUGACUGCCAUCAUUUAUGGUGUUGGGGCAUUCUGGUUACAGAAGUGGG
This is a long non-coding RNA of Mus caroli (Ryukyu mouse), 763 nucleotides long. RefSeq lists it as uncharacterized. The record is from RefSeq and is a predicted model, not a curated record. NCBI's taxonomy places the organism in Eukaryota, Metazoa, Chordata, Mammalia, Rodentia, Muridae.